RNAcentral lists this ribosomal RNA (459 nucleotides) under uncultured bacterium. RNAcentral describes it as "partial 16S ribosomal RNA". It matches the Rfam family "Bacterial small subunit ribosomal RNA", at positions 338 to 795 of the family's 1533-position model. The record is from RNAcentral.
CCUACGGGUGGCAGCAGUGAGGAAUAUUGGUCAAUGGGCGGAAGCCUGAACCAGCCAAGUAGCGUGAAGGAUGACGGCCCUAUGGGUUGUAAACUUCUUUUAUAUGGGAAUAAAGUGCAGUAUGUAUACUGCUUUGCAUGUACCUUAUGAAUAAGGACCGGCUAACUCCGUGCCAGCAGCGGCGGUAAUACGGAGGGUACGGGCGUUAUCCGGAUUUAUUGGGUUUAAAGGGGGCGCGGGCGGAUUUUAAAGUGGGCGGUGAAAUCGUGGGGCUCAACCCCGUCCAGCCGUGGAAACUGGGGAUCUAGAGUGCGCGGGAGGCAUGCGGAAUGCGUGGUGUAGCGGUGAAAUGCAUAGAUAUCACGCAGAACCCCGAUUGCGAAGGCAGCAUACCGGUGCACAACUGACGCUCAGGCACGAAAGCGCGGGUAUCGAACAGGAUUAGAUACCCUAGUAGUC